GAUGAACGCCGGCGGUGUGCCUAAUACAUGCAAGUCGUACGCACUGGCCCAACUGAUUGAUGGUGCUUGCACCUGAUUGACGAUGGAUCACCAGUGAGUGGCGGACGGGUGAGUAACACGUAGGUAACCUGCCCCAGAGCGGGGGAUAACAUUUGGAAACAGAUGCUAAUACCGCAUAACAACAAAAGCCACAUGGCUUUUGUUUGAAAGAUGGCUUUGGCUAUCACUCUGGGAUGGACCUGCGGUGCAUUAGCUAGUUGGUAAGGUAAUGGUUUACCAAGGCGAUGAUGCAUAGCCGAGUUGAGAGACUGAUCGGCCACAAUGGAACUGAGACACGGUCCAUACUCCUACGGGAGGCAGCAGUAGGGAAUCUUCCACAAUGGGCGCAAGCCUGAUGGAGCAACACCGCGUGAGUGAAGAAGGGUUUCGGCUCGUAAAGCUCUGUUGUUGGAGAAGAACGUGCGUGAGAGUAACUGUUCACGCAGUGACGGUAUCCAACCAGAAAGUCACGGCUAACUAC
Molecule: ribosomal RNA, 520 nt
Filed under: uncultured bacterium
Lineage: Bacteria
Description: bacterial SSU rRNA
Rfam family: Bacterial small subunit ribosomal RNA
Source: RNAcentral